GGCGCGGAGGCCUCCGGCCGGCGGGCAGGGGCGCGGUCGGUCUGGGAGCAGCGGCACCGCCCGCAGCGUCCCGGUUCCUCGAAGCGGGGCGCGUCCGCUUUAAUCGGGGAGAGAGAUGUGGGGGCACGGGCGUUACAUCAGCCGCCACGUGUGGGCCUAAGCUGGCGUGCGGGCGGCGGCCCCGCCCCCGGUCCCUGCGGUGGAAAAGUACCGGGACGCGGAGGUCCCCGCCCCACGGCCCCGCCCCCGGGCCGGCCCCGGCCCUCCGGGCAAGCCCCACUCUCCCGCCCAGCCCGGCCCCGCCGCCUGCUCGAGAUCUGCAGUGGCUGCCGGGUGCGGAGCGCCGGCCGGUGGUGGGCUCUCCAGGGCUGCUAGGCCCCUGCCCUCGCCUGCGGCCGCCCGGCCCCACCCUAGGCGUGCCGUCAAUGGAUCAUGAAGAUGGAGGUGGUGGCUCAUGCCUGUUAAUCCCCACGCUAUGAGAGGCUGAGGCGGGAGGAUCACUUGGGGCCAGUAGUUUGAGACCAGCCUGGGCAACAUGGCAAGACUCCAUCUCUACAAAAAAAUGCAAAAAGAAAUCAGUGGACCAUAUAUGUACACAUCUAUUUUGGAUUCAUGCCUGUAAGAUACUGAGCAUCGACCAGGCGCGGUGGCUCACAACUGUAAUCCCAGCACUUUGUUUGGGAGGCUGAGAUGGGUGGAUCACCUGAGCUCGGGAGUUCGAGACCAGCCUGACCAACAUGGAGAAACCCCAUCUCUACUAAAAAUACAAAAUUAGCUGGGCAUGGUGGUGCAUGCCUGUAAUCCCAGCUACUCGGGAGGCUGAGGCAGGAGAAUCACUUGAACCUGGGAGGCAGAAAUUGCAGUGAGCUGAGAUUGAGCCAUUGCACUCCAACCUGGACAACAAGAGUGAAACUCCAUCUCAAAAUAAAUAAAAGAUACUGAGCAUCUUUUGAUCUAUAUGUCUUUAUGCCAAUACUACACUGUACUGAUUAUUUUAUAUUGUCUAAAAGAAGCAGUAACAUUAUUAACUUUAUUGUCUUAACCCUUGAAUAUAUGUCUUUGAAAUAUUUUGUGUGACAAAAUGGGAAGUAUGCUUAUCUCAAGGAAAAGCACUUACGCAAUUGAAUUGUGAACUGAAUGCACCAAACACCAGUUUUACUUAAAAGAACAAAUGACAAACUAUAGUUAUCAGACUUGGGUCUUUGGCAUACUUUUUCUCAAAAGUGAAUCAAGUGAGCCUAUCAAUUCAAGGAAAAAAAAAUUAGUGUUUGUUGCCAGUGAAAAAAUUAGCGUUUUCAAGUGAAAAUUAGGAUUUGAAAAACUUAUAUCUACUUACAGUGAGUUUGAAAGCUUUCAAUUCUAAUGAGACCAGUGAUAGCAUUAAUGAGUGUGCUCUUUAAAAAAUAUUGUAUAAUGAAAUGUGUCAACAUUUGGGAGAUCUGCAUAACUCAGUGAACCAAUAUUUUCCAAAUGACCAAUACAUGAUGUUACAAAAUCAUGCAUGAGUAAAAGAUCUAUUCAAAGUGCAAGGCAGACCAGUGGAGUGUAACAUUAACAGAGUAUGAAACGUCCACGUAGUAACUAACUUUUAAGAAACUACCACCUCGAGUUUUGGUAUGGAAGAAAGAAGAAUUUACUGAAAAGGCUAUUAAAAUACUUCUCUCUUUCCCAACUACAUACUUUAUGAAGCUCAGUUUUCAUCACAUAUUUUAACCAAAGCAACCCAUUGCAACAGAUUGAAUGCAGAAGCAGCUGAGAAUCUAGCUGUCUUCUACAAGCCAGACAGUAAAGAGAUUUGCAAAAGUGUAAAACGAUGCCACUGUUCUCACUAACGUUUUUGUUUUAGAAAAUAUACAGCUAUCUGGCUGGGCGUAGCGUCUCACGCCUGUAAUCCCAGCACUUUGGGAGGUAGAGACGGGUGGAUCACCUGAGAUCAGGAGUUCUAGACGACCAGCCUGGCCAACAUGGUGAAACCCCGUCUCUACUAAAAAUGCAAAAAUUGUCCAGGCAUGGUGGCGGGCACCUGUCAUCCCAGCUACUCAGGAGGCUGAGACAGGAGAAUCACUUGAACCCAGGAGGCGGAAGAUGCAGUGAGCCGAGAUCGUGCCAUUGCACUCCAGCCUGGGUGACAAGAGCAAAACUGGGUCUCAAAAAAAAGAAAAUGUACAGCUGUCUUUCAUUGGUAUAAGUAUAUUUUCAGUUAAAAUAUAACAAAAAUAUUGUUAUUUUGAAUUAAUAUAUGUUUUAACUUUCAGUUUUAAUUUUGAAUACAUUGAAGAUCAUGAGAUAAAACCACUUAAAAACUCUUUAGGUUCUUAAUUUUUUAAUUAAGAACCCAAUUUUUUAAAUUAAGAACCUCAAUUUUUUUGAGACUCUGUCUCAAAAAAAAAAAAAAAACCUGAAAUUUUUUGCCCUAAACCUUUGUUCAUAUUAAUGUACUAUUAAAGAAUAAGUUUAUUUUACGGCUACAUUAUAGUGCAUAUGAGCUACUGAUUUUUAGCAUGUUCCCAGCGUGGUUGGCAGCAUCUCUCUCCCUCGUGGAAGGUGUGUGUUGUCACCUUCUGCCCACACGGCCCCUGGUUUUCUCCCUCGAUGAGAGAGAAAAACGGAUCCCUUCGUAGUUACUGCCUCCAGGACAUGUGACACCAGAUGGCCCGCCAUGGGUUUGAAGCAAUUUCUGGUGAUCUUGCUUAAUUCUCUCUCUUCUAUUUCCAAGCACACUAUUUAUUUAUUUAUUUAUUUAUUUAGAGAUGGUCUCGCUCUAUCACCCAGGCUGGAGUGCAGUGGUGUGAUCACAGCUCACUGCUGCCUCGACCACCCAGACUCAAGUGAUCCUCCCACCUCAGCCUCCUGAGUAGCAUGUGCCACCAUGACUGGCAGGUGCUAAAAACGAACUGUUUUUUGUUUUAUUUUGGAGAGACAGGGGUCUCACUGUGUUGCCCAGGCUGGUCUCGAACUCCUAGACUCAAGUGAUCCACCCACCUUGGCCUCCCAAAGUACUGGGAUUAUAGGUGUGAGCCACUGUGCCUGGCCUCUAAGCACAUUUGUAAAAAUGCUAUUAUUUUUGCACACUUUCUGUGUUAAGAACUUUACAUUCAUUUUCUCAUUUAAUCCUCACAAUGACCCUGUGAGCUAGAUACUGUUAUUAUUCCCAUUUUAUAGAUAAGAAAACCCAACCUCAGAGAGAUUAGGGGAAACCUGUGGGAAUGUAACCGAUUUUAAAUCCUCUUUAAUGUAUAGAUACAAAUUAAAGGUGAGCUUAAAUCCCUUUAAAUUUAUACAUUUAAAAAUUUGUUCAUCUAAAGUUUAGUACUUUAACAAUUGUUCUUAGUAACAAAUUACCACUAAAGGGUUAGUAACAAAUUACCACACCAGCACAGAUCCCCCACCCUUAAAACUGAGCCCCAGCUGAGCCCUCACAUUGGGCCCUUACCCUUGAGUCCCCUGAAGCCCCAUGCUGUGUUCAGGGCAUGUGUGCCCCAAACGUGAACCCUUACACUGGUGUCUUGCCUGAUUUUUUUCCAGAACCUUAAUACUGAGUCUUCAUACCCAUUUUCCUCACUGGAACCUCCCUGAGCCCUUACUUGAGGCAACAUGUGUGAGCUCUUCACCUGUUUACAUGUCUGACCUGCUGGUCAGCCCUGACACCAGAACCCCACGCUUGAGUCACUUAACUAGCAGCAGAGUCAGACUCUGAGACCAUCCCUUUAGAGGAAGCAGCAGAGAAAAUGGGAGCUGGAGGGGAAGGGAGUGGUGGAGAUGGGGGUGUGAGCUGGGAGAAGCAGGCGUGGGGGAGAACUCUGGGCUGUCAGCCCCUAGCUAUGGUCGGGAAUGUUCCCAGGCAGCACUGACCUUUCACCCCCACCCGCCUCGGUGCGAUGAUUGGCUGUCUCUGCCAUCCCCGCUUCCGGGACCAGAAGCCACCUCUGGAGCAACUGGGGCAUCCCCAUGGCAACCAUGCCAGGCCAGCUUGGGAGAGGUGUGGGGCUCCUUCACAGCCUUUUAUUGCCCCAAAACAGGUUGACUCUCUCGUCCUGGUAACCCUCAGGGCCCUGCAGAUCACAGUGUCCAGAGAGGAGGUGCCGUUGCUCCUAGCAGGUCUCUUGAUUCAGGAAAAAGCGUUUCUCUGGUCUCAGCCAGAUCCUUCCUGGGCUGAUCUGUUGGGAAACCCAAGCUCUCUGUCCUUGGGCCCCUAGCCCCUACCAACACCCUCCUAGCGCAUUCUAGCAGGAGAGCGAGAGGGAGUGGAGGCAGUCUGAACUCUUCCCUCUGCCCACCUGGGUGUGGGCUUGGUGAGAUACUGAGGGUGGGGCGUCCACCUGAGUCCGUGGAGGGAGGAGAGACUACGGUGUGGUGGGGGCGAGGCCACUCAGGGCUUUGUGACCUAGACAGAGGCUUUAUGUGGGUGAUUAGCUGUCACGUUGGGUCUAAGCUCCUUACCCUCAGAACCUAGCUUUCCUGCCUGCCCCCAGGGCUAAUCCAGAGGUGGGGGAGGGGCUAAAGACACUGGGCUCUGCCAGGGGCCUUGGAUGAGCUUAUCAUGGAACAUAAGAAAAAUAAAACAGAUGUCAGCCUGUGUAUGAAGAAUUCAUCCACAAGAUUUGAGCAGACCGAAGACCGUGAGACUUCCUACCCACAGUGAGCUAAAAGGACGCUUUUGUCAGAGUGGGGAAAUAAAAGGGCUUUAUGGGAAGGAAGAUAAGAACAGAUGAGUCAGAGGUUUCUGCUUAAUGGUGGUACAGCCAAGCAGACAGGCAAGUGGCCAUACUGCUGCUGCCUCAUGUAGGAUCCGGCAGGCUGGUGGGUUAUCAGUCCUCACGUGGGACCCUCCCACCAUGGCAGCUAAGCACAUCCAAGCUGGGGGAUCCUGAAGAGACCUUCACCUGGGUGCCACGCGGAAGAUUGGCCAGCACCAUUUUGACUCCUGUGGAUGGUUCCAGGUAAAGACAAUCCUUGCACAAGGCUUCCAACUCGACCCGCCUACUGACCUGGAGAAUGAAAGUGUCCUGCCUCGGAGCCCCUCAGAUCAGCACCCAAACUGCACCUGGUCACCUGUCUACAUUCAGAUUUGGAUGAAAGCCACACCAUGGAGGCAGCCAGAGGCCCAUGGGAGAUGUCUGGAUUCGCAGAGGAAUAGCUCCAUAUGAUGCAAACCUUGACUAAUGGGAACAGGAAAAGGGAGGAAACCAGGAAGAUAAAUCUCCCUCCCUUCUCAUUGCUCCUUGCAACCCUUCCCACUUGAAGCAUGACCACAUUUAAUGAACAACCUGCUGUGUCUCUUGGAAGCUUGCUGCAAGGCAGCAAUCAGCACAAUAACAUUGUAUUGUAUCUUCCUCUGCUUCACUUCUCUUCCUCCCUCACCCUCACUGCCCUGAGCUGGCACAUCCCAAAGAAAGCAUUACCACAUUAAUCCUUGUCUCAGACUCUGCUUUCAAGAGGAUCUAGGUGAAGGAAAUUCCUAUUACUCCACCUCUUCAUCACCUCUUCAAAUGUCAGACUUUAAAAAUGGUGUCAUUUUGUUGAGUGUAUCUCAUUGUGGUUUUAAUUUGCAUUUUCUUGAUUAUGAAUGGGGUUGGCUAACUUUUCCUAUGUUUAUUGGAUUUCUUCAUUUGUGAAGUGCUUGUUUAAGUUUUCUACUGAUUUUUCUAUUGGGUUGUCUUUUUUUCUUUCUUUCUUUCUUUUUAAGACAGAAUCUUGCUCUGUUGCCCUGGCUAGAGUGCAGUGAUGUAAUCAUAGCUCACUGAAACCUCGAACUCCUGGGCUCAAGCAAUUAUCCCAUCUCGGCCUCCCAAGUAGCUGGAACUACAGGUGUGCACCACUACCACCAUGCCUGGCCUUUUUUUUUCCGCAUAGAGACAGGUCUUACUAUGCUGCUCAGGCUGGUCUUGAACUCCUGGCAUCAAGUGAUCCUCCUACUCAGCCUCCCAAAGUGCUGGGAUUACAGGUGUGAGCCACUGCACCCAGCCUUUUUCUUUCUUUCUUUUUUUUUUUUAAAAAAAAAGAAAAAGUGGCUCACUCCUGUAAUCCCAGCACUUUGGAAGGCCGAGGCGGGCAGAUUAGUUGAGGUCAGGAGUUCAAGACCAGCCUGGCCAACAUGGUGAAACCCCGCCUCCACUAAAAAUACAAAAAUUAGCUAGUUGUGGUGGUGUGCGCCUGUAAUCCCAGCUACUUGGGAGGCUGAGGCAGGAGAAUCGCUUGAACCUAGGAGGUGGAGGUUGCAGUGAGCCAAUAUUGCGCCACUGCACUCCAGCCUAGGUGACAGAGCAAGACUCUGUCUCAAAAAAUAAAUAAAAAAGAAAAAAGAAAAAAAUGGAUUUGUAAGAUGUUCCAGUUAACUACUGCUAUAUAACAAAUUACUCCAAAACUCGGUGGCAUAAAACAAU
This is a long non-coding RNA of Gorilla gorilla gorilla (western lowland gorilla), 6383 nucleotides long. RefSeq lists it as uncharacterized. The transcript has 7 exons. The record is from RefSeq and is a predicted model, not a curated record. NCBI's taxonomy places the organism in Eukaryota, Metazoa, Chordata, Mammalia, Primates, Hominidae.